CAACUCUCAACAACGGAUAUCUUGGCUCCCGUAACGAUGAAGAACGCAGCGAAAUGCGAUACGUAGUGUGAAUGCAGAAUUCCGUGAACCAUCGAAUCUUUGAACGCAAAUUGCGCUCGAGGCUUCGGCCAAGAGCAUGUCUGCCUCAGCGUCGGCUACUACCCUCAA
This 168-nucleotide ribosomal RNA is filed under the name uncultured Trebouxia photobiont. RNAcentral's name for it is "5.8S ribosomal RNA". It matches the Rfam family "5.8S ribosomal RNA". From Rfam's summary of the family: 5.8S ribosomal RNA (5.8S rRNA) is a component of the large subunit of the eukaryotic ribosome. It is transcribed by RNA polymerase I as part of the 45S precursor that also contains 18S and 28S rRNA. Lineage: Eukaryota; Viridiplantae; Chlorophyta; Trebouxiophyceae; Trebouxiales; Trebouxiaceae. The record is from RNAcentral.